Molecule: ribosomal RNA, 489 nt
Filed under: uncultured bacterium
Lineage: Bacteria
Description: bacterial SSU rRNA
Rfam family: Bacterial small subunit ribosomal RNA
Source: RNAcentral
AUUAAAAACUUCAAAGGAAUUGACGGGGACCCGCACAAGCGGUGGAUGAUGUGGAUUAAUUCGAUGCAACGCGAAAACCUUACCUACCCUUGACAUGUCAGGAAGUCCGCUGAGAGGUGGAUGUGCCCGAAAGGGAACCUGAACACAGGUGCUGCAUGGCUGUCGUCAGCUCGUGUCGUGAGAUGUUGGGUUAAGUCCCGCAACGAGCGCAACCCUUGUCAUUAAUUGCCAUCAUUCAGUUGGGCACUUUAAUGAGACUGCCGGUGACAAACCGGAGGAAGGUGGGGAUGACGUCAAGUCCUCAUGGCCCUUAUGGGUAGGGCUUCACACGUCAUACAAUGGUCGGUACAGAGGGUCGCCAACCCGCGAGGGGGAGCCAAUCCCACAAAGCCGAUCGUAGUCCGGAUCGCAGUCUGCAACUCGACUGCGUGAAGUCGGAAUCGCUAGUAAUCGUGGAUCAGCAUGUCACGGUGAAUACGUUCCCGGGUC